RNAcentral lists this ribosomal RNA (495 nucleotides) under uncultured bacterium. RNAcentral's name for it is "partial 16S ribosomal RNA". It matches the Rfam family "Bacterial small subunit ribosomal RNA", at positions 28 to 507 of the family's 1533-position model. The record is from RNAcentral.
GACGAACGCUGGCGGCGUGCCUAAUACAUGCAAGUAGAACGCUGAAGGAGGAGCUUGCUUCUCUGGAUGAGUUGCGCACGGGUGAGUAACGCGUAGGUAACCUGCCUGGUAGCGGGGGAUAACUAUUGGAAACGAUAGCUAAUACCGCAUAAGAGUAUAUGUUGCAUGACAUUUGCUUAAAAGGUGCAAUUUCAUCACUACCAGAUGGACCUGCGUUGUAUUAGCUAGUUGGUGGUGUAACGGCUUAUCAAGGCGACGAUAUAUAGCCGACCUGGGAGGGUGAUCGGCCAAACUGGGACUGAGACACGGCCCAGACUCCUACGGGAGGCAGCAGUAGGGAAUCUUCGGCAAUGGACGGAAGGCUGAACGAGCAACGCCGCGUGAGUGAAGAAGGUUUUCGGAUCGUAAAGAUCUGUUGUAAGAGAAGAAAGAGUGUGAGAGUGGAAAGUUCACACUGUGACGGUAUCUUACCAGAAAGCGACGGCUAACUACGUG